CAGCAGCCGCGGGAAUACGAGGGGGGCAAGCGUUGUUCGGAAUUAUUGGGCGUAAAGGGUGCGUAGGCGGUUUGGCAAGUCUUGUGUGAAAUCUUCGGGCUCAACCCGAAGCCUGCACGAGAAACUGCCGGGCUUGAGUAUUGGAGAGGUGAGUGGAAUUUCCGGUGUAGCGGUGAAAUGCGUAGAUAUCGGAAGGAACACCUGUGGCGAAAGCGGCUCACUGGACAAUAACUGACGCUGAUGCACGAAAGCUAGGGGAGCAAACAGGAUUAGAUACCCCUGUAGUCCCUGUCUCUUAUAC
This 301-nucleotide ribosomal RNA is filed under the name uncultured bacterium. Its description in RNAcentral is "partial 16S ribosomal RNA". It matches the Rfam family "Bacterial small subunit ribosomal RNA", at positions 509 to 807 of the family's 1533-position model. The record is from RNAcentral.